This is a long non-coding RNA of Dreissena polymorpha, 1364 nucleotides long. RefSeq lists it as uncharacterized. Lineage: Eukaryota; Metazoa; Mollusca; Bivalvia; Myida; Dreissenidae. The transcript is spliced from 3 exons. The record is from RefSeq and is a predicted model, not a curated record.
UAAAUCUUAUUGAUUGAUAUUUUAUAGCAUAAAAAUCCCUGGGUUUAUUGCGUAUGAAAGGCCCGACGGGGAAACCACGUGUCUUUACGAACAUACUAGUCGUCUACUGUUUGGGAAUACAGAGAAGAAAUUUAUACUGCGGUUGGCUGCAAUAAGAUACGCUCUACAAAAUUGUUUAAAAUAUGUUCAACAGCUGGCAGAUGCAUUUGUAAACUCCAAAUCCAAGACUGAUGCCGCAACCGCAUUCUUUCGAAUACAUUGUAUCGAUUUUAAAAGGACAAAGAAAUCGCCAAUAAUAAAAGAUGUUGGGUUGGCAUUUGUUGAUCUUUUGCGAGAAACGGUCAACACAGGACAAGGUCCGUUUUAUGCUGAGUUUUUAGGAGGUGCAUUAAAUUGCAAAAUAACACAACACUUUGAGAACGAUCGCUUUUACGAGUGGAACAUUUGCGCGGUACCAGGCCUCAAUGUUUCCUUGGUAACCAACACACCGCCUGACAGAGAACUGCAUAUCUACUGGAUGAAGACUAGCCGGGGUUUAUCAUACACAUAUCAACUAGUUUCUCUUGUAAAAAAACGUGGACGCAGUGUCAUCUUGAUUAAUUGAGUGGUACAAUAGACUCAUCAUAAGAUUUGCAACAGCAAUAACUAGCUCGGAGAGUUUUGUUUCAAUUCUUGCGCUUGUUGAAGUAUGCUUUAUCUGAUAUUGACAUCGCUUCAUUUGGAUAAAGAGUAAUAUCUUAUUGCACUUUAUGUAUUGCGAUACACAAAUGUAUCACAGCAACUAUAAGCCACUUAACUAAUAUUCCAAUCAAUUCGAGCGCAUUUAGCUUUGCUUUUUAAUACACAUGAUAGUUGUGAUAGUUUGGUUUGCCUUUGGUUAAAUGACUGUUACCUUACUUUAAAAACUUACACAUGUAUAUAAUUAUAUGCGGUCCCAUUAUGUUUAGAAUUAUGUUAAAUACCAUUCAUAUUGUUAUUUUUUUACUAUGCAUGUUUGUUUGCCUUUUGAUAUGCUUUUGUUUUUUAAACAAAUCAAGUAUACUUAACUGUAUAUCGUCAAGAUUUUCAAAACCAUUUUAAAGGGGCCUUUUCACAGUUUUGGCAUGUAUUGAAGAUUAUCAUUUAAUGCUUUAUAUUGAUAAAUAGAAACAUUGGAUCUAAAAGGCUUUAGUAAAGAAUAAGAAUACAAUUAAAGAAAGAAAAAAAAAAUCAACUGGGCUCGAACCACUGACCCCUGGAGUAAAUGUCUAUGGCUUAGACCACUCGGCCAUCAGGGAUCUUACUAUGAUGUGUGUAUUUUAUACAUCAUAUAAGCAAUCCUUGUAGUGUCACAAAAUUUAACAAUUGCAAAACUGUCCAAAUUA